UUUAUAUAACCUUUAUUAAACCAGGUAGGCAAGUUGAGAACAAGUUCUCAUUUACAAUUGCGACCUGGCCAAGAUAAAGCAAAGCAGUUCGACACAUACAACAACACAGAGUUAUAUACAGUGCCUUCGGAAAGUAUUCAGACCCCUUGACUUUUUCCAUAGUUACGUUACAGCCUUAUUCUAAAAUGGAUUACAUAAAAACAUUUCCUCAGCAAUCUACACAUAACGACAAAGUGAAAACAGGUGUUGAUAUUUUUGCAGAUGAAUUCAAAAGAAAUACCCUAUUUACAUAAAUAUUCAGACACUUUGCUAUGAGACUCAAAAUUGAGCGCUCAGGUGCAUCCUGUUUCCAUCAAUCAUCCUUGAUGUUUCUACAACUUGAUUGGAGUCCAUCUGUGGUAAAUUCAAUUGAUUGGACAUGAUUUGGAAAGGCACACACCUGUCUAUAUAAACAGGUCCCACAGAUGACAGUGAAUGUCAGAGCAAAAACCAAGCCAUGAGGCCGAAGGAAUUGUCAGUAGAGCUCCGAGACAGGAUUGCGUGGAUGCACAGAUCUGGGGAAGGGUACCAAAAAAUGUCUGCAGCAUUGAAUGACCCCAAGAACACAGUGACCUCAAUCAUUCUUAAAUGGAAGAAACCAAACUGAGCAAUCGGGGGAGAAGGGCCUCGGUCAGGGAGGUGACCAAGAAACUGAUGGUCACGGACAGCGCUCUAGAUUUCCUCUGUAGAGAUCGUUGUCCUUCUGAAAGGUUCUUUCCAUCUCUGCAGCACUCCACCAAUCAGGCCUUCAUGGUAGUGGCCGGACGGAAGCCACUCCUCAGUAAAAGGCACACAACAGUCCGCUUGGAAUUUGCCAAAAGGCACCUUAAACAACUUCUUAUGGCUCAAAUCCCAUUAACGGGAUCGAUUUGACAACAGCCAGUGAAAGUGCAGGGCGCGAAAUUCAAACAACAGAAAUCUCAUAAUUAACAUUCCUCAAACAUACAAGUUUAUACACCAUUUUAAAGAUAAACUUGUUGUUAAUCCAACCACAGUGUCCGAUUUCAAAAAGGCUUUACGACGAAAGCAUACCAUGUGAUUAUGAUAGGUCAGCGCCUAGUCACAAAAAAACUGCCAUUUUCCAGCCAAAGAGAGGAGUCACAAAAAGCAAAAAUAGAGAUAAAAUUAAUCCCUAACCUUUGAUGAUGAUCAUCAGAUGGCACUCAUAGGACUUCAUGUAUGUUUUGUUCGAUAAAGUUCAUAUUUAUAUACAAAAAUCUCAGUUUACAUUGGCACGUUAUGUUCAGUAAUGUUUUGCCUCCAAAACAUCCGGUGAUUUUGCAGAGAGCCACAUCAAUUUACAGAAAUACUCAUCAUAAACGUUGAUGAAAAUACAAGUGUUAUGCAUAGUUUUAAAGAAACUUCUCCUUAAUGCAACCACUGUGUCAGAUUUCAAAAAAGCUUUUCGCCGAAAGCACAUCAUGCGAUAAUCUGAGUACAGCGCUCAGCCACCAAAACAAGCCAUACAGAUACCCGCCAUGUUGUGGAGUCAACAAAAGUCAGAAAUAGCAUUAUAAAUAUUCACUUACCUUUGAUGAUCUUCAUCCGAAUGCACUCCCAGGAAUCCCAGUUCCACAAUAAAUGUUUGUUUUGUUUUAUAAAGUCCAACAUUUAUGUCCAAAUACCUCCUUUUUGUUUGCGUGUUUAGUCCAGUAAUUCAAAUGCACAAGGCGCGGGCACUAAGUACAGACAAAGUCACAAAAGUUCCAUUACAGUUCGUAGAAACAUGUCAAACGAUGUAUAUAAUCAAUCCUUAGGAUGUUUUUAUCAUAAAUCUUCAAUAAUAUUCCAACCGGACAACUCCUAUGUCAUUUAGAAAUGAAAGGGAACGGAGCUCAUGCUCACGGCCGUGCGUGACUAAACUAAAGGCUUUCAACCAGACCCCUGGUUGAAACAGCUCUUAUUCGCCACCCUUUCACAAUAUAAGCCUGAAACAACGUUCUAAAGACUGUUGACAUCUAGUGGAAGCCUUAGAAAGUGCAAUCUGACCCCAUUUACACUGGAUAUUGGAUAGGCAAUCGCUUGAAAAACUAUAAACCUCAGAUUUCCCACUUCCUGGUUGAAUUUUUCUCAGGUUUUUGCCUGCCAUAUGAGUUCUGUUAUACUAUAAAUAUAAAUCCAUUCAGGAAGUAUUUUUUGUUUUUGUUAUGUAGUUUUCUAUUCAAUGCCAUUACAGUAUCCAUUGACUUAGGACUCAAAUUGCAGUUCCUAUGCCUUCCAGUAGAUGUCAACAGUCUUUAAAAAUUGUUUCAGGCUUGUAUUCUGAAAAAUGAGGGAGUAAGAGCAGUCUGAAUGAGUGGACCCUGCUGUGUCAAAGAGCUUUUUCAUGCGUGCGACCGAGAGAGUGCCUUUCUUGUUUACCUUUUAUAUUGACGACGUUAUUGUCCGGUUGAAAUAUUAUCGAUUAUUUAGGCUAAAAACAACCUGAGGAUUGAAUAUAAACAUCAUUUGACAUGUUUCUAUGAACUUUACGGAUAGAAUUUGGAUUUGUCGUCUGCCUGUUGUGACUGCGUUUGAGGCUGUGGAUUACUGAAGAAAACGCGCAAACAAAACGGAGGUUUUCGGAUAUAAAGAGAAACUUGAUCGAACAAAAGGAACAUUUAUUGAAUAAAUUAAUGUCUUCUGAGUGCAACCAUAUGAAGAUCAUCAAAGGUAAGUGAUUAAUUGUCUCUUUCUGACUUGUGUAACUCUUCUACUUGGCUAGUUCCUGUUUGUAAUGAUUUGUCUGCUGGGCUAUGUUCUCAAAUAAUUGUAAGGUAUGCUUUCGCAGUAAAGCAUUUUUUAAAUCUGACACAGUGGUUGGAUUCACAAGUUAAUCUUUAAACCUAUGUAAAAUAGUUGUAUCUUUUCUGAAUUUUUAUAUAAUGAGUAUUUCUGUAUUUGAAUUUGGCGCUCUGCAAUCUCACUGGAUGUUGGCCAGGUGUCCCACAUACCCUAGAGAGGUUAAGACUCUCAGGCCAUGAGAAACAAGAUUCCCUGGUCUGAUGAAACCAAGAGUUGAACGGCGAAAAGUACAGAGAUCCUUGUUGAAAACCUGCUCAAGACCUCAGACUGGGGUGAAGGUUCACCUUCCAACAGGACAAUGACCCUAAGCACACAGCCAAGACAAUGCAGGAGUGGCUUCGGGACAAGUCUCUGAAUGUCCAAGAGGCCCAGCCAGAGCCCGAAUUUGAACCCGAUCUCUGGAGAAACCUCAAAAUAGCUGUGCAGAAACACUCCCGAUCCAACCUGACAGAGCUUGAGAGGAUCUGCAGAGAAGAAUGGGAGAAAUUCCCCAAAUACAGUUGUCAAGCUCGUAGCGUCAUACCCAAGAAGACUCGAGGCUGCCAAAGGUGCUACAACAAAGCACUGAGUAAAGGGUCUGAAUACUUAUGUAAAUGUGAUCCGUUUUUUUUCAAUACAUUUGCAAACAUUUCUAAACCUGUUCUUUGCUAGGUCAUUAUGGGGUUUGAACGAUUUAAUUAAGGCUGUACCGUAACAAAAUGUAGAAAAAGUCAAGGGGUCUGAAUACUUUCCAAAUACACUAACUGGCAUUCUAACACUGUGGUAUAAGAACAUCUUUAUGACAGUGUUAUAAUGUAUUGUUCAGGUAAGUACCUAACAAGGAAUGCUGCCAUAUAAGUGAACAGCCUUUGUAAAAGCACUGGACCGACGGUGUGUCAUCAUGGACCACUCCUGCAUCACUUCCUCCUUGGACCCAAUGUGGUGGACCAUUUUAAGUAGUCCAUUUC
Oncorhynchus tshawytscha (Chinook salmon) is the source of this 3770-nucleotide long non-coding RNA. The record is from Ensembl. Lineage: Eukaryota; Metazoa; Chordata; Actinopteri; Salmoniformes; Salmonidae.